GCGGGCGUAGCUCAACUGGUUAGAGCGCUUCCCUGUCACGGAAGAGGUUGCGAGUUCGAGUCUCGUCGAUCCCGCUCCA
This 79-nucleotide transfer RNA is filed under the name Candidatus Woesebacteria bacterium. Its description in RNAcentral is "tRNA-Asp". It matches the Rfam family "tRNA". Rfam says of the family: Transfer RNA (tRNA) molecules are approximately 80 nucleotides in length. Their secondary structure includes four short double-helical elements and three loops (D, anti-codon, and T loops). The record is from RNAcentral. Lineage: Bacteria; Candidatus Woeseibacteriota.